GUGGGUGUGUUGUAAAUGGAAGCCUGCUUGUCUACCAAACCAGCGGAGCGGGUUCAAGUCCCGUCACCUACA
RNAcentral lists this transfer RNA (72 nucleotides) under Candidatus Nanopelagicaceae bacterium. Its description in RNAcentral is "tRNA-Gly". It matches the Rfam family "tRNA". Rfam says of the family: Transfer RNA (tRNA) molecules are approximately 80 nucleotides in length. Their secondary structure includes four short double-helical elements and three loops (D, anti-codon, and T loops). Further hydrogen bonds mediate the characteristic L-shaped molecular structure. tRNAs have two regions of fundamental functional importance: the anti-codon, which is responsible for specific mRNA codon recognition, and the 3' end, to which the tRNAs corresponding amino acid is attached (by aminoacyl-tRNA synthetases). tRNAs cope with the degeneracy of the genetic code in two manners: having more than one tRNA (with a specific anti-codon) for a particular amino acid; and 'wobble' base-pairing, i.e. permitting non-standard base-pairing at the 3rd anti-codon position. The record is from RNAcentral. Lineage: Bacteria; Bacillati; Actinomycetota; Actinomycetes; Candidatus Nanopelagicales; Candidatus Nanopelagicaceae.